RNAcentral lists this ribosomal RNA (467 nucleotides) under uncultured bacterium. RNAcentral's name for it is "partial 16S ribosomal RNA". It matches the Rfam family "Bacterial small subunit ribosomal RNA", at positions 28 to 506 of the family's 1533-position model. The record is from RNAcentral.
GACGAACGCUGGCGGCGUGCUUAACACAUGCAAGUCGAACGGAAAGGCCCUGCUUUUGUGGGGUGCUCGAGUGGCGAACGGGUGAGUAACACGUGAGUAACCUGCCCUUGACUUUGGGAUAACUUCAGGAAACUGGGGCUAAUACCGGAUAGGAGCUCCUGCUGCAUGGUGGGGGUUGGAAAGUUUCGGCGGUUGGGGAUGGACUCGCGGCUUAUCAGCUUGUUGGUGGGGUAGUGGCUUACCAAGGCUUUGACGGGUAGCCGGCCUGAGAGGGUGACCGGCCAAAUUGGGAGUGAGAUACGGCCCGGACCCCUACGGGGGGAAGGAGUGGGGAAUAUUGCCAAAUGGGCGGAGGCCGGAUGCAGAAACGCCGGGUGGGGAAAGGCGGCCUUGGGGUUGUAAACCGUUUUCGCCUGUAAAGAAGCGUGGGGGGCGGUAAUGGGAAAAAAAGCACGGGCUAACUACGU